AUUGAACGCUGGCGGAAUGCUUUACACAUGCAAGUCGAACGGCAGCACGGACUUCGGUCUGGUGGCGAGUGGCGAACGGGUGAGUAAUGUAUCGGAACGUGCACAGUCGUGGGGGAUAACGUAGUGAAAAUUACGCUAAUACCGCAUACGAUCUAUGGAUGAAAGCGGGGGAUCGCAAGACCUCGCGCGAUUGGAGCGGCCGAUAUCAGAUUAGGUAGUUGGUGGGGUAAAGGCCCACCAAGCCAACGAUCUGUAGCUGGUCUGAGAGGACGACCAGCCACACUGGAACUGGGACACGGUCCAGACUCCUACGGGAGGCAGCAGUGGGGAAUUUUGGACAAUGGGCGAAAGCCUGAUCCAGCCAUUCCGCGUGCAGGAUGAAGGCCCUCGGGUUGUAAACUGCUUUUGUACAGAACGAAAAGGUUUCUACUAAUACUAGGAGCUCAUGACGGUACCGUAAGAAUAAGCACCGGCUAACUACGUGCCAGCCGCCGCAGUAA
RNAcentral lists this ribosomal RNA (500 nucleotides) under uncultured bacterium. RNAcentral's name for it is "partial 16S ribosomal RNA". It matches the Rfam family "Bacterial small subunit ribosomal RNA", at positions 30 to 523 of the family's 1533-position model. The record is from RNAcentral.